Molecule: ribosomal RNA, 491 nt
Filed under: uncultured bacterium
Lineage: Bacteria
Description: partial 16S ribosomal RNA
Rfam family: Bacterial small subunit ribosomal RNA
Source: RNAcentral
GAUGAACGCUAGCUACAGGCUUAACACAUGCAAGUCGCGGGGCAGCAUGGGGGUUGCUUGCAACCCCUGAUGGCGACCGGCGCACGGGUGAGUAACGCGUAUCCAACCUGCCCUUCACCACGGGAUAACCCGGCGAAAGUCGGACUAAUACCGUAUGUUGUCCAUUGACGGCAUCCGAUUUGGACGAAAGGCUUGGCGGGGAAGGGAUGGGGAUGCGUCCGAUUAGCUUGACGGCGGGGUAACGGCCCACCGUGGCUACGAUCGGUAGGGGUUCUGAGAGGAAGGUCCCCCACACUGGAACUGAGACACGGUCCAGACUCCUACGGGAGGCAGCAGUGAGGAAUAUUGGUCAAUGGGCGUAAGCCUGAACCAGCCAAGUAGCGUGCAGGAUGACGGCCCUAUGGGUUGUAAACUGCUUUUAUGCGGGGAUAAAGUGGCCCACGUGUGGGCUUUUGCAGGUACCGCAUGAAUAAGGACCGGCUAAUUCCGUG